CGGUCCCUCCCGCUUCUUGUCCGGAUCAGCUAGAUUUCUCCCGACCCAAUCCGGUGCCUUCCACGCUCUUCUCUCCCUGUUUCUCGAUCUUCUCUGCCUCCCGAACUUUCUUCCGACGCGAACAGAUGGGCGGCGGCGGUGGUGCUAGCCGUCACCGGCGCGCCGCGGCGUCGCUCGUCCGUUUCCUCCUCCUCCUCCUCCUCCUCCCUCCCUCGCCUACUUCUUCCUCUGUUUCUUCCUCUCCUUCCUCUCUCUCUACUCUUUCCUCUCCCUGCGGCGGUGUGUGCGACGCAAGGGGGCGCCCUCCUCGGCCAGGGCUAACACUGGUGAGGCCUGGCGACCCUCCUCUCCCCCAUCCUUCGCACGCACUCGUCAACUCUUCCUCUCUUGUCGCGGAGUGUCUGCUUCGCUCGUUCGUGAAACCCUAGGUACCUAAAUGGAUCAUUCGACUUCAUCCUUCCAGUACCGAUUGCCAGGUCUCAUCUCAGGAACAUCAGCAGGUAAAUGAAUUUUUUUACUUUUAAUACAAUAUAUAACAAUUGUGUCUACUUUUUGCUGGCUGUACUUAGGUUGAUUCAAGGAGUUAUGGCAAACAUUGGCCUUACCAAACAUGUUCGUUCUGGUCCUGUACACUAAAUUUAUUUUUUAGUAGAUUCUUGUCAAUACUUGCAGCUAUUUUUCUUACCUCUAGAUUUCUGCGUGUAGUUCUUUCCUUGUUCUCAAAUAAUUAUUACCCCAGCCGAUUUGUUGCUUGCCACAAUCACGUCAAUAUCAAGGUAUUCUGAUUCCUGUUCUUCCUUUAAUUAUUCAUCUCUUCUUGAUAACUAGGUGUGCGCAUUAUGUACCUGUUACAAAUUUGGUUAUGGCUAUAUCUUGAUAGUAUGCUGCUAUUUUUGAAUUAUCAACUCAAACUGCUGGAAGCCUGCCUGCCUUUGGCUCGAUGAAAGUUGUGUCUAUGCGUGUCCCCUGCCUUUGUAGGAUGAAUGGCAGCACACUCUAUAGUAUGUGUUCAUGCAGUAUCUCUCUUAGUUGUAUUUUCAUCCCACCUAAUGUGUAUAUUAAUGCCUUAAUCUACAAAUACACGCUUCUAGCUUGCAAUGUACAGAGUUUAGCUGACUAUGCUAAUGUGAGAUCUGCUGUUUUUCUGUUGUAGGUUUGAUUGUCCAUAUCUAGGAUUCCGUCAUAGUUCAGUAUUGUCAUCCUUACCUAGAUCUCCUUCCUGUAAUAUGUUUCGUGCCUCCAAUCCUAUUGAAGCAUCUGCCUCUAUCGGAUGAGGCUACCUAUCCAGCUCACUUCUUAUGUGUUUUGUCCGAAGAUGAACUUUAAAUACUUCACCAUGGUUUGGAAUUAGGAUUUUACAGUGGCUUCCAUAUUCCAAACCCCACAGUGCAGGGCGCAGUCUCAGGAUAACAGCCAAAGCAACCUCCCAAUUCUCCAGGAUGUGCACAAAAGUAGCCUCCACACUAGGUACUACGUAUUUUUUUUAGCUAACUCACAAUACAGACCUAAUAGAUAGGUAUUACGAUGGCCAUCAUCUUGUAUUUCACGAAUGUAAGAUUCUAUUUUAGGUCAACAUGCAAAGUGAAAAUAUAGGUGCUUCCAACAAUGUAGGUGGCAUCACUACUUGCUUUUCUUUCCCACGCCCGAAAAUGUAGGUGAUUCCAGCAACAUUGCUCAGUUUGGUAUUUCCCCUGCUUCUGCCCUUGCUUGCUUUUAUUUGUGCAUACCAGCUUCAUUGCCACACAUGAUGAUUGCUAACUGAGGUCCUUUAUUUGGUGUUUAGGACAAAUAGUUGUCACAUUUAAUGUAUUGUCCUGCACUCUCUUGCUAUAAUUUUUAAUACUGAAUUAGAGAAUACUAAUAUUUAGAUGUAUCCGCACACAGAUUUGUCAUAUGCCCUAUAUUUUCAAACAAAAGUUCUCUCAAUAAUAGAUACUUCAUAAAAAAAAUUGAUUAAUAUGAAUCGUUAAAUAUGUUGUUAUUUACCUACUGUUGCAUCCAAACUUUGUCAAUGACAUGCUAAUUUUUUUCUUUGUAAAUGGCACAGAGCACUACUCUACAUGAAUUCAUUCAUAGUUAUAUACAGUUCAGGCACAAAUGGUAUGAUUUGAUACGCUGAAGUCCAAGGGGGACAGUAGCAGGUUUGGUUGUUGGGGACCUUGCGGUGUCUCCCCCCUCUCUUCCCUAGAUGUGGGCGAUGGCGACAGUACCCUUCCGGUGCACGCCCCCAUGGCUGCCCUUCUCAGUGUCUCCCUCUUUGCUCGCCACUCGGCAGCGUCUUCUUUCCCUCUGUCUCUCUCUCUCUCUCUCUCUCUCUCUCUCCACGUGCCAUGGCGCUCUGCCUGGGACUCUGCAUUGGCCACACAUGGUAGACACACCCAGGACAGAUGGGCCUUAGCAACCCACGGUUUGGGAAGGAGCAAUCUUAAUUAGGUGCUCCUGUUUCCUCUCCUUUUGUGGUUUUGAUUCUCUCGAUUCUCUCUGAUUUCUUCCUAGGUUGGCUUCGAUUCCUAAACUUUUUCCCUGGAGCCUGUGAUGAAAAUUCUAGACCCACUGAUCAAGGAUAUGAACUGAUGUUCGUUUGCCUGUCAAUUAGUUGUGCAAUUAAAGACAACAAAGUGCAUCAGCUCCUCAACAAGAAACCACGUCCACUUCUACCUAAAUAAGUCCUGCCAUUUGAUUACCUGCAUUACCCCAUAAAUCGUGCUUUGAAGCUGAUUCUAACUGUGUUGCCUAGCUUCCGCUCGAUUCCUUCAGUCUUUAUGCGGUACCUCUUGUUUCUUCUCCGGAUCAGCUAGAGACAAAUAUAUAUGCCGAAUCAUCAUAGAUUCCUCCUGAGGCAGUCCGGUGCCUUGUUUCCUCUCAUUCUUGAUUUUGAUUCCGUCUCUUUGAUUUCUUCCUACAUUGGCUUGGAUUCCUAAACUUUUUUCUUCUUUGGCCUGUGAUGAAAAUUCCUGAAUAUUGGUCAAGGAUAUGAACUGAUGUUUGUUCGCUUGUGAGGUACUAGGCAUGAUCUGCUACUUAUCUUGUGCAUUUUAUGGGAGUAACAAAAUUGUGACCACGCCUAGAAGCUCCAAGUUCAUGAACAAGUGAUGAUUGGAAUAUUUCUGAGGCCUCUAAACUUUUCCCUUCUUUGGCCUGUGAAGAAAAUGUAGACCCAUUGGUCAAGGAUAUGAACUGAUGUUUGUUCGCUUGUGAGGUACUAGGCAUGAUCUGCUACUUAUGUUGUGCAGUUUAUGGGAGUAACAAAAUUGUGACCAUGCCUCGAAGCUCCAAGUUGACGAACAAGUCAUGACUCAAAUAUUUCUGAGGCCUCUAAAGUUUUCCCUUCUUUAGCCUGUGAUGAAAAUUCCAGACCUAUUGGUCAAGGAUAUGAACUUAUGGUCAUUCACCUGUGAGGUACUAGGCAUGAUCUGCUACUUAUGUUUUGCAAAUUAUGGAAAUAACAAAAUUGUAACCAUGCCUCAAAGCUCCAAGUUGAUAAACAAGUGAUGAUUAGAAUGUUUCUGUGGCCUUUAAAAAUCAUGUCUUCAUUAAGAAAAAUUUUAAUCUUUUUUGUUGUGUAGAUGAUGAGUUGUAGGCUCUGCACUCCUUCCCACUCUGCAUUGAGUUCUUCCUGCAAUUAAAUAGACUUCUUAUUUAUCUAAAGUGCUACCAGGCAUUGAGUUCUUCCUACAAUUAAAUAAACUUCUUAUUAUCUGAAGUGCUGCCAGGUACAUAGGUACCUAAAAUCUUCAAACACUUUUGUUUUGUGAACACUAAGUAGUACGCUCUCCACUCCUUCCCACUCUGCAUUGAGCUCUUUCUGCAAUUAAAUGGACUUCUUAUUAUCUGAAGCGCUACCAGGUAGACAGGUAUGUACAAUCUUCAUGCACUUUUGGUUUGUGAAUACUUAACGUGAUAGCAUAGUACUUUAACACAGGUAGUUGGUGACAAUAAGAAAAACUACGGUUGCAAGUAAUAGUUCAAACGCUACAAAAUUAGGAUUAGUAUAUGCACAAAAUGUAGGAAGAAAAGUAAUGCCUAUAAUGUGGCUGACCUGCCACAGAUAGCAAUGUAUAUAUAUUUUAGAUGCCCCUAUUUUGUGCCCAAGCGCCACAUUUGUCAGACUCCAACAGAGAGUUAUGCUAACCGGUGAAUAACACUUUUUUUGAUAUUUUCCCCAUUCUUCUUUGAUGCGCGAAUGGGCUGAUGGCACAGAAAUGCUUGUCACUUUGUUUAUUUGUACAGAAUCAAGCACCAGUGUGACGGUGUGGCUGUGCCAAAUGUCAGCGCAGAUACGAUCGAGCUUGCAUUGUUUCCAUUCUGAUGUUUCAUCUAUAUUAGUUACAUGCAGGAUGAUAAAUUCAUGAUGGAUGCUUAUAUACUGUAUGUCUCUUUGAUCUCUCUUCACAAAAAUUUACUGCUAGGAUGAUUAGCACAACUAAUAUAGUAUAUAACUAUAUGAUGACUUUUUGUCAGUGGUGACUAACAUCCAUGAACCCGAUGCAGGAUGAUAGCUUCAGUAACAACCUCUUCAGUAAAUUAGCAUCUGCACUGCAAAAAGAAAGGCUCAUGCCCUGUCAUCAACCUUAUGUGCUCUGUCAGCUCACACCAUCCACCCUUUGUAUAAAGUUUAUAGUAUGUACCAUGAACUCUUAAUUGUAAAAUUCCUAUUUGUACAAAAACUACUGACUGCUCAGACCAUGUAUGCACCCUAUAUAUAUUAGUGUAAUAUGGCCUCAGCUUGUUUUAGUCGCACUGCUUUUCAAUUGUAGCAUCCAAAAAUAAUCAAGACAGGUCAUACUUAAUUAAUAUAGUUAGCUUCAUAAAUAAUACUA
Molecule: long non-coding RNA, 4820 nt
Organism: Sorghum bicolor (sorghum)
Lineage: Eukaryota; Viridiplantae; Streptophyta; Magnoliopsida; Poales; Poaceae
Exons: 2
Source: RefSeq, a predicted model, not a curated record